UACGGAGGGUGCAAGCGUUGUUCGGAAUCACUGGGCGUAAAGGGCGUGUAGGCGGUCCGCUAAGUCUGAUGUGAAAGCCCGGGGCUCACCCCCGGAAGGGCAUUGGAAACUGGCGGACUCGAGUCCCGGAGAGGAAGGUGGAAUUCCUGGUGUAGCGGUGAAAUGCGUAGAUAUCAGGAGGAAUACCGGUGGCGAAGGCGGCCUUCUGGACAGUGACUGACGCUGAGACGCGAAAGCGUGGGGAGCAAACAGG
This 253-nucleotide ribosomal RNA is filed under the name uncultured bacterium. RNAcentral describes it as "partial 16S ribosomal RNA". It matches the Rfam family "Bacterial small subunit ribosomal RNA", at positions 524 to 776 of the family's 1533-position model. The record is from RNAcentral.